ACAGACCGUCCAUGAAUGCAGUUUAUUCGUUUCCAGGUGAUGCAGACAGACCAGAGGAUGCUGACCACGAGAGACAGACCUAUUCCUAACAUCAGUGAACUUCAGCAUGGACUCAAAGGAAAGGACAUACCUGAAGGACACAACUGCCUCACCGUUUUCUCAGAGGGGCAAGAAGAAAAUGAAAAGCUGAUUUCAGAUUAAAGACCAAUACAGGACAUUCACUAAGAAACUACACUUUUAUUGUGAACACAAAGUCAAACAGGACCAUCAUUUGUUUGUGACAGCUGAGCCCAGUAUGUGCUCACAGAUGCAGUUAGGGGGUUUCUUCAUCAGGCCUGGGCCUCCUCCCAAAGAAAGACCUCUCCACCUCAGUCCUCUCCAGCCAAACCCACAGACAGGACAUCCG
Long non-coding RNA from Gymnodraco acuticeps, 406 nucleotides. RefSeq lists it as uncharacterized. The record is from RefSeq and is a predicted model, not a curated record. The transcript has 3 exons. NCBI's taxonomy places the organism in Eukaryota, Metazoa, Chordata, Actinopteri, Perciformes, Bathydraconidae.